This 1021-nucleotide ribosomal RNA is filed under the name Salmonella enterica subsp. enterica serovar Weltevreden. Its description in RNAcentral is "partial 23S ribosomal RNA". It matches the Rfam family "Bacterial large subunit ribosomal RNA", at positions 1213 to 2215 of the family's 2925-position model. The record is from RNAcentral. Lineage: Bacteria; Pseudomonadati; Pseudomonadota; Gammaproteobacteria; Enterobacterales; Enterobacteriaceae.
GCUUAUGCGUUGUUGGGUAGGGGAGCGUUCUGUAAGCCUGUGAAGGUGGCCUGUGAGGGUUGCUGGAGGUAUCAGAAGUGCGAAUGCUGACAUAAGUAACGAUAAAGCGGGUGAAAAGCCCGCUCGCCGGAAGACCAAGGGUUCCUGUCCAACGUUAAUCGGGGCAGGGUGAGUCGACCCCUAAGGCGAGGCCGAAAGGCGUAGUCGAUGGGAAACGGGUUAAUAUUCCCGUACUUGGUGUUACUGCGAAGGGGGGACGGAGAAGGCUAUGUUGGCCGGGCGACGGUUGUCCCGGUUUAAGCGUGUAGGUGUGUGUUCCAGGUAAAUCCGGUUCACUUUAACACUGAGGCGUGAUGACGAGGCACUACGGUGCUGAAGCAACAAAUGCCCUGCUUCCAGGAAAAGCCUCUAAGCAUCAGGUAACAUCAAAUCGUACCCCAAACCGACACAGGUGGUCAGGUAGAGAAUACCAAGGCGCUUGAGAGAACUCGGGUGAAGGAACUAGGCAAAAUGGUGCCGUAACUUCGGGAGAAGGCACGCUGACAUGUAGGUGAAGUGAUUUACUCAUGGAGCUGAAGUCAGUCGAAGAUACCAGCUGGCUGCAACUGUUUAUUAAAAACACAGCACUGUGCAAACACGAAAGUGGACGUAUACGGUGUGACGCCUGCCCGGUGCCGGAAGGUUAAUUGAUGGGGUCAGCGCAAGCGAAGCUCCUGAUCGAAGCCCCGGUAAACGGCGGCCGUAACUAUAACGGUCCUAAGGUAGCGAAAUUCCUUGUCGGGUAAGUUCCGACCUGCACGAAUGGCGUAAUGAUGGCCAGGCUGUCUCCACCCGAGACUCAGUGAAAUUGAACUCGCUGUGAAGAUGCAGUGUACCCGCGGCAAGACGGAAAGACCCCGUGAACCUUUACUAUAGCUUGACACUGAACAUUGAGCCUUGAUGUGUAGGAUAGGUGGGAGGCUUUGAAGUGUGGACGCCAGUCUGCAUGGAGCCGACCUUGAAAUACCACCCUUUAAUGUUU